GAAAACCUGGUCUUAAAAUUGAACACAACUUCUUUGUUUUUCCCUAGGAAUAAGGAAUGUUCACGAAGAUAUAUGCACCAGGAUGCUUUCCUUGGGGUCUUGUUGACAGAUGAUACAGCAAUUUCGACACUGUGCUGGCUUCGUGGAACACAACCCCUGCUGGGAUGGCUUUCACAGGAAAGCACCAGGGAAUGUGGAGCUGGGAGGGCUGGUAGGCAGCAGCUCCCACGCCGCCAGCUCUGCCUUUCUACUGACACAUCUCAUGUGCUGCCUGGUCUUCAUGGUCACAGCAUAGUUGCUGUGCUUCCAGGCAUCGCACCUGAGGUUCUCACAGGAAGAAGGGGCAGAGGCAAAAAACAAUCCUGCUAGAUCUAUCUAACAACAGUAUUCCCAGAAAGUCCUACUCGGCAGACUUCCACCACAUUUCAUGGCCACAACUAGCCAACGGUCACUCCUACUUACAAAAAAGGCUGGACAGUCAACACUCUUUGACUAGGAACCAAGACCAGGAUCAAAUGGGAAUGACAUGCCUGCUCCAGGCUCACCUCCCUCUGGAUGCCGCUGCUCUGCACAGUAAGAUGUCACUGGCUCUCAAGCGUGUGGAUGUGGUUUCCAUUUCCUGCGGGUUUGCCUGGCCGUGCUUCUCCGUCAGCACCACAGGCGCUCCAGUGCCUCCACGUCCAUUCUCACGUUCUCGUCUCAUGGCGUGCGCUGCCCACGUCUGGCCUGCUCAGCUCGCAUCCCACGCCCCUCACCCAUGUGCUUCCUCUGGUUACACACACACACACACACACACACACACAAGAAGUUCCCUUCCUCUUGGCAGCACUGGCCAGGACUCUGCUGCCAAACAGGAACCCCUGGGGCACCUGCAACCCAGUUUUCAGCCCCACUCCCGGUGAACCUGCCCUUGCUCCUUCCCACACCUGAGAAGUACACCUAGUUUCUCCAGUCUCAGAUCCUCCAGGCCCAUCCAGAUUUACCUGCUUCUCUGCCUUUCCUGCACCGACUGACAAUGUCAGCCAGGGCCACUGAGAAGGUGAGGAUUCCUUUGUCUCAGGAGGUCCCUGGGAUCCCCACCCUGGCAGGAAUUGAGCACCUCUGGUGAAUAUGCGGGCUGCCCUGCCUCGCCCUUGGCCUGGGUCCCUGCACUUGCAGUCCUGUGCCCACAAACUAAGAUUGGAGGGUGCUCCUGACACACUUCAGGUUGGCACCUGCUCACCUCUCAGAGGCUGAGGCCAGGUGUUAGGAGACAGGAGUGGCAGCCACACAGGACACUCGUGAGUCCCUUGACCAGAGAGGUCUUUGGGAAAUUAGAACUAUAUUUUUGGUAUAGGGAGCCUGGGUCCCAGCUGGUCAGAAAUCCAAGCCAACCCUACCCUAGGCAGGCUGGCCCAGGAAGAGGGCCUGAUAGCGGCAGACCUGCUGACGGUGUGGCCUUGGGGUACUCACGAACGGGGUCGGGACACUGUGUCUUUGAGAAAAACAUGCAAGUCAAUCCCAGCAUCACACACAAAGAAAAAAUAAAUGCCAAGUGUAGGGUAAGGAAAAAUGUCAGGCUUUUCUGCCCUCCCGCCAUCAGGAUAGAUGAUGGAUCUUUGCGGUCCUGAAUGCAUGCCUGAUGGCGGGCACCUGGAGUAGGGUGUGGGCCUAGGUAGAUGGGAUUCACCUGGGCUAAGAUCGGGCUUUUAAGGGCGGCGUCACGGGGGCGCCAGCAGAAGCCAAGAAGCUGAAGAGAAGCCAAGAGAGAAGCAAAGAAGCAGAAGCAGAGAACACCAGAGAGCCCAGAGAGAGUGCGUAUUUGCUGGGGGCUGGGAAGCCUGCCAGCCUCCCGGCCCCCCAGCACCCCUGCCUGCCGUGUACCUGGUAAUCCCAAUAAAAGCCUGCAAAA
Talpa occidentalis (Iberian mole) is the source of this 1891-nucleotide long non-coding RNA. RefSeq lists it as uncharacterized. Lineage: Eukaryota; Metazoa; Chordata; Mammalia; Eulipotyphla; Talpidae. The transcript is spliced from 3 exons. The record is from RefSeq and is a predicted model, not a curated record.